This 1774-nucleotide ribosomal RNA is filed under the name Salmonella enterica subsp. enterica serovar Heidelberg. RNAcentral describes it as "partial 23S ribosomal RNA". It matches the Rfam family "Bacterial large subunit ribosomal RNA", at positions 1 to 2238 of the family's 2925-position model. The record is from RNAcentral. Lineage: Bacteria; Pseudomonadati; Pseudomonadota; Gammaproteobacteria; Enterobacterales; Enterobacteriaceae.
CCACCACUAAGCCAGUGGUGAACUCCACAUACGCAUCCUUUGCUGAGGAUACGGUUAACGGAGCGAAAGCGACGUUCAACCGCAAAAGAAGCAGAGGGGGCUUAGUGGUGGGGUGACUGCGUACCUUUUGUAUAAUGGGUCAGCGACUUAUAUUCUGUAGCAAGGUUAACCGAAUAGGGGAGCCGGAGGGAAACCGAGUCUUAAUUGGGCGUUAAGUUGCAGGGUAUAGACCCGAAACCCGGUGAUCUAGCCAUGGGCAGGUUGAAGGUUGGGUAACACUAACUGGAGGACCGAACCGACUAAUGUUGAAAAAUUAGCGGAUGACCUGUGGCUGGGGGUGAAAGGCCAAUCAAACCGGGAGAUAGCUGGUUCUCCCCGAAAGCUAUUUAGGUAGCGCCUCGUGAAUUCAUCUCCGGGGGUAGAGCACUGUUUCGGCUAGGGGGCCAUCCCGGCUUACCAACCCGAUGCAAACUGCGAAUACCGGAGAAUGUUAUCACGGGAGACACACGGCGGGUGCUAACGUCCGUCGUGAAGAGGGAAACAACCCAGACCGCCAGCUAAGGUCCCAAAGUCAUGGUUAAGUGGGAAACGAUGUGGGAAGGCCCAGACAGCCAGGAUGUUGGCUUAGAAGCAGCCAUCAUUUAAAGAAAGCGUAAUAGCUCACUGGUCGAGUCGGCCUGCGCGGAAGAUGUAACGGGGCUAAACCAUGCACCGAAGCUGCGGCAGCGACGCUGAUGCGUUGUUGGGUAGGGGAGCGUUCUGUAAGCCUGCGAAGGUGACCUGUGAGGGUUGCUGGAGGUAUCAGAAGUGCGAAUGCUGACAUAAGUAACGAUAAAGCGGGUGAAAAGCCCGCUCGCCGGAAGACCAAGGGUUCCUGUCCAACGUUAAUCGGGGCAGGGUGAGUCGACCCCUAAGGCGAGGCCGAAAGGCGUAGUCGAUGGGAAACGGGUUAAUAUUCCCGUACUUGGUGUUACUGCGAAGGGGGGACGGAGAAGGCUAUGUUGGCCGGGCGACGGUUGUCCCGGUUUAAGCGUGUAGGUGUGUGUUCCAGGUAAAUCCGGUUCACUUUAACACUGAGGCGUGAUGACGAGGCACUACGGUGCUGAAGCAACAAAUGCCCUGCUUCCAGGAAAAGCCUCUAAGCAUCAGGUAACAUCAAAUCGUACCCCAAACCGACACAGGUGGUCAGGUAGAGAAUACCAAGGCGCUUGAGAGAACUCGGGUGAAGGAACUAGGCAAAAUGGUGCCGUAACUUCGGGAGAAGGCACGCUGACACGUAGGUGAAGUGAUUUACUCAUGGAGCUGAAGUCAGUCGAAGAUACCAGCUGGCUGCAACUGUUUAUUAAAAACACAGCACUGUGCAAACACGAAAGUGGACGUAUACGGUGUGACGCCUGCCCGGUGCCGGAAGGUUAAUUGAUGGGGUCAGCGCAAGCGAAGCUCCUGAUCGAAGCCCCGGUAAACGGCGGCCGUAACUAUAACGGUCCUAAGGUAGCGAAAUUCCUUGUCGGGUAAGUUCCGACCUGCACGAAUGGCGUAAUGAUGGCCAGGCUGUCUCCACCCGAGACUCAGUGAAAUUGAACUCGCUGUGAAGAUGCAGUGUACCCGCGGCAAGACGGAAAGACCCCGUGAACCUUUACUAUAGCUUGACACUGAACAUUGAGCCUUGAUGUGUAGGAUAGGUGGGAGGCUUUGAAGUGUGGACGCCAGUCUGCAUGGAGCCGACCUUGAAAUACCACCCUUUAAUGUUUGAUGUUCUAACGUGGACCCGUUA